Molecule: long non-coding RNA, 526 nt
Organism: Passer domesticus (house sparrow)
Lineage: Eukaryota; Metazoa; Chordata; Aves; Passeriformes; Passeridae
Exons: 3
Source: RefSeq, a predicted model, not a curated record
AGCCACUUGUGACUAAGGCAUCCACAUGUCUUUGGCCAGGCUGCACAUGGGUGAACUAGUGAGAUCACAGGAAUGGAAAAGUGGAGUCUUGAAAUAUGCCUUGCUCCAGAAAGGGAACCAUGAAACCAUUUUUGUGAGUGAAAAAUCACAGACCUCACCUGCAAAUUCUGUGUGCAGAAGACUUUAAAACCAUUCCAGUGGCUACAGAAUGAAUCACAAUACUGCAGAUCUCAGCCUGACUGCCAACUGCAGAUCACCCUCUGUCCCAAUGGACUUCAGUGAAGAGCAACUGAGCCCAGCAUGAGACAAAAACCACGACUUUGCAGGAUCAAGCCCAUCACAGGAUGCAAGAAGCAAGUUGUCCCUCUGACACGUGUAUGGGGAUGACGUACCAACAGAUCAGCACAACAAACUGGCGCUUGGAAUAUUCACAAAAGCAACAUUUCAGAGGCAGUAAUAAUAAUAAUAAUAAAAAUAAUAAAUAAUGAAAAUAUAAACCUGGGUAUGGUUUCUCUUAGAUGCAAAU